UGGGGAAUAUUGCACAAUGGGCGAAAGCCUGAUGCAGCGACGCCGCGUGAGGGAUGACGGCCUUCGGGUUGUAAACCUCUUUCAUCAGGGACGAAGCGCAAGUGACGGUACCUGCAGAAGAAGCACCGGCUAACUACGUGCCAGCAGCCGCGGUAAUACGUAGGGUGCAAGCGUUGUCCGGAAUUACUGGGCGUAAAGAGUUCGUAGGCGGUUUGUCGCGUCGUUUGUGAAAACCAGCAGCUCAACUGCUGGCUUGCAGGCGAUACGGGCAGACUUGAGUACUGCAGGGGAGACUGGAAUUCCUGGUGUAGCGGUGAAAUGCGCAGAUAUCAGGAGGAACACCGGUAGCGAAGGGGGGUCUCUGGGCAGUAACUAACGCGGAGGAACGAAAGCGUGGGUAGCGAACAGG
RNAcentral lists this ribosomal RNA (409 nucleotides) under Bacillota bacterium. RNAcentral's name for it is "Firmicutes bacterium partial 16S ribosomal RNA". It matches the Rfam family "Bacterial small subunit ribosomal RNA", at positions 355 to 776 of the family's 1533-position model. Lineage: Bacteria; Bacillati; Bacillota. The record is from RNAcentral.